Molecule: transfer RNA, 73 nt
Filed under: Fukomys damarensis (Damara mole-rat)
Lineage: Eukaryota; Metazoa; Chordata; Mammalia; Rodentia; Bathyergidae
Rfam family: tRNA
About the family: Transfer RNA (tRNA) molecules are approximately 80 nucleotides in length. Their secondary structure includes four short double-helical elements and three loops (D, anti-codon, and T loops).
Source: Rfam by way of RNAcentral
AGGGAUUUAGCUCAGUGGUUCCAGUGUCUGCUUUGCAAGCACGGAGACCCAAGUUCAAUCCCUGGUAUCCCCC